CAGUCGCCGCGGUAAUACGUAGGGUGCAAGCGUUAAUCGGAAUUACUGGGCGUAAAGCGUACGCAGGCGGUUAUAUAAGUCAGAUGUGAAAUCCCCGGGCUCAACCUGGGAACUGCAUUUGAGACUGUAUGGCUAGAGUGUGUCAGAGGGGGGUAGAAUUCCACGUGUAGCAGUGAAAUGCGUAGAUAUGUGGAGGAAUACCGAUGGCGAAGGCAGCCCCCUGGGAUAACACUGACGCUCAUGCACGAAAGCGUGGGGAGCAAACAGGAUUAGAUACCCCAGUAGUCCCUGUCUCUUAUAC
RNAcentral lists this ribosomal RNA (301 nucleotides) under uncultured bacterium. RNAcentral's name for it is "partial 16S ribosomal RNA". It matches the Rfam family "Bacterial small subunit ribosomal RNA", at positions 509 to 807 of the family's 1533-position model. The record is from RNAcentral.